RNAcentral lists this unclassified non-coding RNA (354 nucleotides) under soil metagenome. RNAcentral describes it as "partial contains 5.8S ribosomal RNA, internal transcribed spacer 2, and large subunit ribosomal RNA". The stretch from base 1 to 120 matches the Rfam family "5.8S ribosomal RNA", at positions 35 to 154 of the family's 154-position model. The record is from RNAcentral.
GAUGAAGAACGUAGCGAAAUGCGAUAAGUAAUGUGAAUUGCAGAAUUCAGUGAAUCAUCGAAUCUUUGAACGCACAUUGCGCCCGCCAGAAUACUGGCGGGCAUGCCUGUCCGAGCGGCAUUUCAACCCUCGAACCCCUCCGGGGGGUCGGCGUUGGGGAUCGGCCCUCCCUUAGCGGGUGGCCGUCUCCGAAAUACAGUGGCGGUCUCGCCGCAGCCUCUCCUGCGCAGUAGUUUGCACACUCGCAUCGGGAGCGCGGCGCGUCCACAGCCGUUAAACACCCAACUUCUGAAAUGUUGACCUCGGAUCAGGUAGGAAUACCCGCUGAACUUAAGCAUAUCAAUAAGCGGAGGA